AAUAAUAAUAAUAAUAAUAAUAUAUAACUAAAAAAAAAAAGAGCUUCUGCAGACCAUAUCAAGAUGCAUAUAUCUUCACAACAUUCUCGAGUUUCAUCAAAAUUCAUACAAAUAUUUAUAUGGAAAAGAAAAAUCAUAAAGUAAGCAAAUGAAAGAUGUAAACUGCGUCGUAAUCCUACAAGGCAUUUGGGGUAGGCUGAGCCACCAAAAUGGGGCACAGGUCUUCUAUAAUUUCCUUAGUCAUACCAUGAACAACGGCGGCUUCUGCAUGCAAAAUUUAUUACUCCACCAAUGUGAUGACAGAUGCUAAGCAGUAAUCCUUGACCUACCUUUUGCUAUUCUUCGAGCAAUGACUCUCCUACCACCCUUGGUUGCCUUGCUGCUCAUACACCAAAUUGCAUUAAUCACACAAACCUAUGCAAUUUCAGCAAGUUUACUCAACAUAUAUACAUAUACAAAUCAAUGAAACCCUGUUAAUGCGGAUCUCAGUGUAUGCAAGUAAAAGGAAAAGAAAGAAAAUAAAACAAAGAACAGUUCAAAAAAGAGGCAGGCAACAGAGCUUUGGCAGGAAGGCCACCUAAACAAAGCCCUGCCUAUGGCUUCAAAUCGUUAAACCAUGAGCAUUAUCGUUAACCAUUUUAUUGGAAAAAAAAAGUAGCCCCAAUAUUUUAUACAUCGGGGAAUUUAACUUCGUCCCACAAGAUGCACAAGACGAAGCAUCCCAGUAAAAUGCAACAUUUUCAAGCAAAUUUUACACUUUCAUCAGACAUCUCGAUUUCUUUAUUUUAAGUUCUAAAAGAUUAGCAAUCAUUCCUACGUUCUCUGUUUCUCAAAGACAUUUAUUGAGAUUUGAGAUUUUCUCUAGGUGCCAGGCUAUAGUUUUAGGCGGAAAAAUGCUCCUUUUUUUUUUUGGCUGAUGUAGAUUCCAGAUCAGUGUUCUCUAGUUUGGUAAAAAGAUAAGUAACUCGUGAUUUUUGGGAGUGAAUUAGGAAAAGAAACAUAUUAGUUAGGAGUGGUUGUUGACGAUGUACUAAAGUUUUGUUUGUCUCCUGUAUAAGGGGGUUAUGCAACAAUGAAAGUAAGAAUAAAUUUUCAGAAUUUUCACUUUUCUCCUAGAAAAUCAGUAGUCCAGUUGUGGGGAGGAAGAGAGAGAAAAAUACCGCGCAAAGAAACCAUGAUUUCUCUUACGCCUGAUGAGGCUGGGUUGGAAUGUCCUUUUAGGGAAUAAGAGCAUUGGCUCACUUGAUGAAUCACCUAAAUAAAAGGAUCAAACCAGUCAUAAAUUAAUCAAGAAGGAAAAGCAAAAAGUUCAAGGUAAUCAGUAAUUGACCAGGCCAGCCCCAUGCAACCUCCAUUCUAAAGUUGUAGAAUAGACAUAUCAGUAGUGCUUAGCAACAAUUACUUAUUAUAGGUUCAGUUCCGCAAGCCAAAAUGCUAUCCACUCAACCCUUCAUAUUUUUAUUUUUUGCAGGAAAUUGUGUAAGGUAAUUUUAUUCUAAUGAUUUUAGCUGAACAAAACAAGAUAAAUCUGAACCUCAUUAAAAUCCUGGCAACACCUCUUGGACUGAAGAAUUUUCCAUGAGCCAGAGAAGGGACAUACAAUUGUUAUAAGAGAUCAAUCCAAAAUUAGAAUUGCAUCAACUCUGUAGAAUCAACUAGAAAGCUGGCGACUGUGUUUAGUGAUAAUAUCCAACAACAGACAACCUUUUUCCUAUACUCAAUGUCAAGUGUCAACAAUCACAACAUUUCUCAACUAUAUGUCUAAUCAAGCAAGUAUUCAGAUUCCUCAACAGUAAGCUAAUCCAAUUGCUUCAAGACAAAAAGCAUGCUUAACACGGGCAUCAUAUCAGCAUGUCCUUAGAUUCCAUAGCAUGUCAUCUUAAAUCAUUAAUGUGCUGCCUACUUAAAACAAGAAAUUUACUUCCAAAUGUUAAUGCUUGCAAACUGUCUGAGGAUCAAAACGAGAAAGACUAAAAAAAAACUCCAUCUUAGCUACAUGGAAUUUGAAAAUAAUGUUAUGCAUCACAAAAUAGUUCCAAUGGAUACCGUCUUUACAAAUAAAGCAUGCAUUUCUAAAUACAGAAUACAGCAACAAAGGACCAAUGGUGAAAGUGUACAGAUAAAUAAAAAGGGUAAUCUAGCAAAUGGAAUAUAUUGUUGUAAUGCAUGACAGAAUACCAUCAGCUAUUAGUAAUAAAAGCAUGAGUUGAAUUGAGAGCCUAAAGAUUGACUACUAACUAAAAGUAAGAUGAAAAACAAAAAAAUUGACUGAUAAACAGUGUCUCUAACUAAGCACAAAAUAUGACCAAUGACUAAACAAGAGAAGGCAUAAUACGAUACCAAUGCCCAAAGAUGAUUAUUGUAGCCUGACAACAAUUAUAUUCUAUUAGUAAGCCUCUGCAAUAAUAUCAACCCCAAGUCCCAACUAGUUUGGGAUUAAGUCUUAGUUGUUGUUGUUAUUUUUGUAGUAAGCUUCUGCAACAAAGGAAAUGAGAAUGACUAGAAACCUAAAGAUACAUGAUUAGUAAGGAUUCAAAAAGUUGAUCUUCUUUCUAUUCACCUUUUUUCUUUGUUUUUUUUCAAUAAGGAUUUAAACACUAGGAAAUAAUUAAAAAAAAUUGCAACUUAAUUUUCUCCAAAAAGUUGGUAUUAGCAAAUGAAGAUUAACAAAAAUGCAAUUGCCCAGGUAAAAGAUUCCACGGUACAACUUCCCCUGUAAUGGCAUGCACUGCUAUAGUGAAAAUGGAGGUGACAGGAGUUAUCAAUGUAUAAUUCCUAGAAGAAACAGGUAUCUCCUGCUGCUUUUAACAAUUAUUCAAAAGCAUCAACCAAUGAAAAACGUAACAUAAAAAAAAAAUUGACAGUGACAAGAUGAUAAGCUGAAUUAAUAUUGAUACCCAUUUGCCAGUCAUGUACAAUUCAACAAUCAAAACAAAAGCAAUGCGCUUUUUCUCCUAAAAGUAACAAGAAACCCACCCCCCACCACCAGAAAAG
This 2994-nucleotide unclassified non-coding RNA is filed under the name Hevea brasiliensis (rubber tree). Lineage: Eukaryota; Viridiplantae; Streptophyta; Magnoliopsida; Malpighiales; Euphorbiaceae. The record is from RNAcentral.